This 468-nucleotide ribosomal RNA is filed under the name uncultured bacterium. RNAcentral's name for it is "partial 16S ribosomal RNA". It matches the Rfam family "Bacterial small subunit ribosomal RNA", at positions 28 to 507 of the family's 1533-position model. The record is from RNAcentral.
GACGAACGCUGGCGGCGUGCUUAACACAUGCAAGUCGAACGGAAAGGCCCUGCUUUUGUUGGGUGCUCGAGUGGCGAACGGGUGAGUAACACGUGAGUAACCUGACCUUGACUGUGGGAUAACUUCAGGAAACUGGGGCUACUACCUGAUAGGAGCUCCUGCUGCAUGGUGGGGGUUGGAAAGUUUCGGCGGUUGGGGAUGGACUCGCGGCUUAUCAGCUUGUUGGUGGGGUAGUGGCUUACCAAGGCUUUGACGGGUAGCCGGCAUGGGAGGGUGACCGGCCACCUGGGGCCUGAGAUAGGGACCAGACUCCUACGGGGGGCAGCAGUGGGGAAUCUUGCACAAUGGGCGGAAGCCUGAUGCAGCAACGCCGCGUGCGGGAUGACGGCCUUCGGGUUGUAAACCGCUUUGGCCUGUGACGAAGCGUGAGUGACGGUAAUGGGUAAAGAAGCACCGGCUAACUACGUG